Molecule: ribosomal RNA, 292 nt
Filed under: uncultured bacterium
Lineage: Bacteria
Description: partial 16S ribosomal RNA
Rfam family: Bacterial small subunit ribosomal RNA
Source: RNAcentral
GUGUCAGCAGCCGCGGUAAUACGUAGGGUGCGAGCGUUAAUCGGAAUUACUGGGCGUAAAGCGUGCGUAGGCGGUUCUCCAAGUCCGUUGUGAAAGCCCCGGGCUCAACCUGGGAAUGGCAGUGGAAACUAGGGGACUGGAAUCUGGCAGAGGGGGGUGGAAUGCCGCGUGUAGCAGUGAAAUGCGUAGAGAUGCGGCGGAACACCGAUGGCGAAGGCAGCCCCCUGGGCUGAGAUUGACGCUCAGGCACGAAAGCGUGGGGAGCAAACAGGAUUAGAUACCCUGGUAGUCC